AUUCUGGCUCAGGAUGAACGCUGGCGGCGUGCCUAACACAUGCAAGUCGAACGGAGUCAUAAAGCGGAAGUUUCGGAUGGAAGAAUUAUGACUUAGUGGCGGACGGGUGAGUAACGCGUGGGUAACCUGCCUUGUACCGGGGGAUAACACUUAGAAAUAGGUGCUAAUACCGCAUAAGCGCACAGCUUCGCAUGGAGCAGUGUGAAAAACUCCGGUGGUACAAGAUGGACCCGCGUCUGAUUAGCUAGUUGGUGGGGUAGUGGCCCACCAAGGCGACGAUCAGUAGCCGGCCUGAGAGGGUGAUCGGCCACAUUGGGACUGAGACACGGCCCAAACUCCUACGGGAGGCAGCAGUGGGGAAUAUUGCACAAGUGGGGGAAACCCUGAAUGCAGCGACGCCGCGUGAGUGAAGACGUAUUUCGGUAUGUAAAGCUCUAUCAGCAGGGAAGAAAAUGACGGUACCUGACUAAGAACGCCCGGCUAACUACGUGCCAGCCGCCGC
RNAcentral lists this ribosomal RNA (502 nucleotides) under uncultured bacterium. Its description in RNAcentral is "bacterial SSU rRNA". It matches the Rfam family "Bacterial small subunit ribosomal RNA", at positions 16 to 518 of the family's 1533-position model. The record is from RNAcentral.